AGUUUGAUCCUGGCUCAGAUUGAACGCUGGCGGCAUGCCUUACACAUGCAAGUCGAACGGCAGCGCGGACUUCGGUCUGGCGGCGAGUGGCGAACGGGUGAGUAAUACAUCGGAACGUACCCUGUUGUGGGGAUAACUAGUCGAAAGAUUAGCUAAUACCGCAUACGACCUGAGGGUGAAAGUGGGGGACCGCAAGGCCUCACGCAGCAGGAGCGGCCGAUGUCUGAUUAGCUAGUUGGUGGGGUAAAGGCCCACCAAGGCGACGAUCAGUAGCUGGUCUGAGAGGACGAUCAGCCACACUGGGACUGAGACACGGCCCAGACUCCUACGGGAGGCAGUAGUGGGGAAUUUUGGACAAUGGGGCAACCCUGAUCCAGCAAUGCCGCGUGUGUGAAGAAGGCCUUCGGGUUGUAAAGCACUUUUGUCCGGAAAGAAAUCGCGCUGGUUAAUACCUGGCGUGGAUGACGGUACCGGAAGAAUAAGCACCGGCUAACUACGUG
Molecule: ribosomal RNA, 500 nt
Filed under: uncultured bacterium
Lineage: Bacteria
Description: bacterial SSU rRNA
Rfam family: Bacterial small subunit ribosomal RNA
Source: RNAcentral